AGAUGUGAGGGUGAUCUGGCUGUGACAUCUAUCACCCCAUUGAUUGCCAAGGUUGAUUCGGCUGAUCUGGCUGGCUAGGCAGGUGUCCUCUUCCUCCCUCACUGCUCCAUGUGCGUCCCUCAUGAAGGUGCGUGCUCAGUGGAAGAGGAUGACGUCCCAGGUAUAGAAGAAGUGUACCCAGGUCUCCAGUCUUCGGUCCCGGGUAUAUGAUAG
RNAcentral lists this small nuclear RNA (213 nucleotides) under Anolis carolinensis (green anole). RNAcentral's name for it is "7SK RNA". It matches the Rfam family "7SK RNA", at positions 1 to 200 of the family's 331-position model. Rfam says of the family: 7SK was discovered as an abundant small nuclear RNA in the mid-70s but a possible function has only recently been suggested. Two independent studies have found that 7SK RNA binds the CDK9/cyclin T complex (known as elongation factor P-TEFb). The record is from Rfam by way of RNAcentral. Lineage: Eukaryota; Metazoa; Chordata; Lepidosauria; Squamata; Anolidae.